CAUCCUUGAAGCUCUAGCACACCCAAAGGCCAUAACGUCAAGUUUCAACAUCUUGGAGGCUCCCUGAAUUAGAGUUAUUAGCAAAUAGAGCAUUGUUUCAAAAUUUGAAGUGGAAUAUGGAUGCUACUGUAUAUCAACAAUGGAGAAGAACAGCAGUAGCAGCUAGUUGUAUGGCUGCUAUAGCUGCCAUACUUGUCAUAUUGGAUGAAUGUGACUAUGACGAGGAGGAUGAAGAAGCACCGCCUAAAAACAAAGUGUUGAUUUUGAUCAACUAGCCACCAUUGCUGAAGGCAUCAAGGAUUUGGCAGCUGCACUUCGAGAACCACCCAAGCAACGUAGCCCUUAUCAGAUGGAUUUGACACCUAUCCUCUAUGCCAUACGAGAGAUGCUUGAUAUUUCUGAUGUCAUGGCUAGUAGGUCUUUUGAAUACUUGAGUGCAAAUCUAGUGCAAACUAAUAUAUUUAUGUCAUAUAAUGUCUCACACUGGGCAAACUUUCUUUGGAGGCAUUGGCAUUCACAAGACCCCAAUGGGUAUAAGGGUUGUUCAUAUUAUGGAUAUCGUGUUUUGCCUUUUUGUGAACUCUUUACGCAUAUAUUAGUUUAAAACUAUGUAGUUAGAGCUUUGACUCUAGGUUGAAGAACAUAUUUCUGCUUAAUUGUUUAAAAAUGGAAUGUUUGAGUGGGAUGUAUAUAUUUUUUUAAUGGUUUCCUACAGACUAAUGAUGUAAUAUUCUCAAACUUUUGGACAAAUUAUAGACGGACUUUAUGCUCUCCA
Molecule: long non-coding RNA, 775 nt
Organism: Macadamia integrifolia
Lineage: Eukaryota; Viridiplantae; Streptophyta; Magnoliopsida; Proteales; Proteaceae
Exons: 3
Source: RefSeq, a predicted model, not a curated record